This 85-nucleotide transfer RNA is filed under the name Bacteroidota bacterium. RNAcentral's name for it is "Bacteroidetes bacterium (marine metagenome) tRNA-Leu". It matches the Rfam family "tRNA". From Rfam's summary of the family: Transfer RNA (tRNA) molecules are approximately 80 nucleotides in length. Their secondary structure includes four short double-helical elements and three loops (D, anti-codon, and T loops). RNAcentral also lists the same sequence under 1 other name. The record is from RNAcentral. Lineage: Bacteria; Pseudomonadati; Bacteroidota.
GCUCACGUGGUGAAAUUGGUAGACACGCCAGCUUGAGGGGCUGGUGUCCGCUUAGGACGUGCUGGUUCGAAUCCAGUCGUGAGCA